AAAAACUAAGUUUGAGAUUACUUCCGGAAUAAGUAAUGAUUUAAGUUUGAGGUUGGGGUACUAGAGUUUAAGAAUAACAAAAUUUAAAAGAAGAUAUAAAGAAGGGUUAUAAAGUAAAACAUAGAACUUCUAAAAAGAGAGAAAAAAAGAGAAAAAAAAGUCGAAUUCUAGUACUCAUAAGUAAAAACAAUCAAAGAAUAUGCAAGGAUGGGGUGAAAAUAGGAAGGUAGCAGGUAUUUAAAUCCAAGGAAUGAAACCGUUUGGCCAAAUAUAU
This 274-nucleotide long non-coding RNA is filed under the name Lathyrus oleraceus (garden pea). Its description in RNAcentral is "Pisum sativum (pea) long non-coding RNA (PSAT_LNC020316)". Lineage: Eukaryota; Viridiplantae; Streptophyta; Magnoliopsida; Fabales; Fabaceae. The record is from RNAcentral.